RNAcentral lists this ribosomal RNA (515 nucleotides) under uncultured bacterium. RNAcentral describes it as "partial 16S ribosomal RNA". It matches the Rfam family "Bacterial small subunit ribosomal RNA", at positions 28 to 523 of the family's 1533-position model. The record is from RNAcentral.
GACGAACGCUGGCGGCGUACCUAAUACAUGCAAGUCGAGCGGACUUUCAAGAAGCUUGCUUUUUGAAAGUUAGCGGCGGACGGGUGAGUAACACGUGGGCAACCUGCCUGUAAGACGGGGAUAACUCCGGGAAACCGGGGCUACUACCGGAUAAUAUCUUUCUUCGCAUGAAGGAAGGUUGAAAGGCGGCGCAAGCUGCCGCUUGCAGAUGGGCCCGCGGCGCAUUAGCUAGUUGGUGAGGUAACGGCGCACAAAGGCGACGAUGCGUAGCCGACCUGAGAGGGUGAUCGGCCACACUGGGACUGAGACACGGCCCAGACUCCUACGGGAGGCAGCAGUAGGGAAUCUUCCGCAAUGGACGAAAGUCUGACGGAGCAACGCCGCGUGAGCGAAGAAGGUCUUCGGAUCGUAAAGCUCUGUUGUCAGGGAAGAACAAGUACCGUUCGAAUAGGGCGGUACCUUGACGGUACCUGACCAGAAAGCCACGGCUAACUACGUGCCAGCCGCCGCCGUAA